CCUUAGGAACAUACACUAUAAAACUAAAACAAGAUAUAUCUUUCUGGCCAGAAGUAACUGAACAAAGUUGUUUCCAGCUGAACCUUUAAGUUAUUUCCAAUUUUGUUUUUUUUUGUAUCAGAAAUCCUCCUUACUUACAGUGAACCAAGACGAUGGGUUUCCAUAUCAGUGACCUUCUGAAGGACUUUUAAAUGUAAAGUAGCUUUCACAUGAGCAACAUACACUUAAAAAAUUUGAUUGUUUGGAGAACCGUUAGCUUGAGAACUACUUCCUGUUUUGUUCAAAUUAAACACCUGGAGCAUUAUCAAGUUGUAUCUAGCCGUUUUAUUUAUAUGGUAAAGCUAACGGGGACCGAGUAGACUGUGAAUGACGGGCAGCGUCCUGUUAUCCAGGUUAUUUUGUUUGCUGUGAAACUAAUCAGGCGGUUCCUCUGCCAUUCCUGAGGCAGUCGCCUCGGAUCCACCGGCUCCCGACGAAGCAGUCACGCCCAAACCUGCCGCCCUCCUUCACGAAUCAACCAUUGUGGAACUCGGCAGCACCGGCAGAACCAAAAGCCUCCCAGAAACCGGCUGCAGCUCCUCGCUAGACCUUCACAAGCCUCUCCCUCCUCCCCUCACUCCUCCUCCUCCGCCUCUUCCUCCCGCUGCAGACAUUCCCGACCUUCCUCUUCCAUCGCCCCCCAUCCCUCCUCCCCCUCCGCUUUCCACCAAGUCGGCUUCCACCUCCAGCCCUCCGGUCCCUCCAAAGCCGCCCCUCGGCGACAGCCCCCAGCGUCCCACCACGCUCAACAUAAAGACGCUUCCGCGCUCCAUCGCGAGGGAGAACGGCGGCCCUCCGCAUCGGGUCGACGACGAUGAGGAUGAGAGGAAGCUGCUGGAAGAGGAUCUAAAAAAAUGCAUUGAGGACUUCAAAAAGAUCCGCUUGCCCACGGUGUUUCCGGACCGCAAGAGGCACUGGCAGAACGACCUGCUCAAGAAGUACAAUGCGUGAAGAGAAGAGCCUCUCUGUGGUACUGCUGUGAAGAAACCCGACUAAAAACCUUUAGGAACUAUUCUGCGGCUGGUGAAGAGAAGCUCAGGUUUAUAGUAAUGUAAAAUAUUUGGACCCAGUUUUUUCUGAUUUUACUUUUUGUUGUCACAAUUAGAUGUUUCAGAUCAUCAAACAAGCUGUAACAAAAGACGUAAAAAGCAGAGUGAACUCAAAAGUCAGUUUUCAAAUAUUAACACACAAAAAAAAUGUAUCCAAACCAGCAAUGUCCAAUAUAAAAAAGUAAUUAAACCAGCAACAGUGUGACUGUCAAUGCAUUUAGAGAUAUUUAGCAUUGAUUGUGCCAAGUGUGCUUUUGGAUCGCUGUCCUGCUGUGUAACUCGUGUGUGGCAGAUCACAAGCCGACUUUCAUGGUUCCAUCAAAUUACAGCAAGUUAUCCAAAAUCUGAUGCAGCAAAACAGUCCCAGAUCGUGAUACCACCACUGCUUUUGACAGUAAAUACGAUGUUCUUUUUCCAAAAUGCCUUGUUACUUUUUACAUGAGAUGCAGCCGAGCGCACCUUUCAGAAAGCCGAUUCUUUUGUGACACCCCGGAUGAGACUCCAGUGUCCUCUUUCAGUAAUUUUAGAGGAUGUUCAACACCACGUUUUCUGUAUUUGUGAAUAAUACCUCUCAUUGCGGUUCACUGGCAUCGCCUUAGACACGGCUUUGUGACCCUGAUGAUGUGAAUUGCUUGUCUUGCUCUGGUUAUAUUUGACAUUAAAGCAUGUUUGGCGAUCUGAAACAUCUCAGUGAGAAAGAAGAAAUGCCUACGGGAGCAGAUACCUUUUCACAGCGCUGUAAACGUCAGAAAGUUUACUUCACCUGGACAUCUUAAGCAACUUUUCUAUUUGUCAGAGAGCAUGUCGUGCUCAGGUUAAAACCAAACGCAGUCAGCGGACACUAAAAGUGUCCGUUCACCUCGACGAAAACCCAUAUCCCUACGGCGACUCCUUCCACGUAAAUCUCGCGAAACAUCGACAAAGGAAAGAAGAUAAAUGUGAUGUCAUUUAUUAGGUAUUCCUGCUUUCCUCUCCUCUGCAACGUGUCUGCUGAUCAAGCAACUGGAAAACAGCGGCAAACUGUCACGCUUCCAAAGCAUUUGACCUUAAUGACGCAAAAUAAAGAAAGGGAGUGAAAUUUCUGGAUUUAAUCUCUCUUGAGUUUGCCUCAUCAAUAUUACAUGGCUGGCUUCAAAGCCUUUCUUCUCUAAUACAUGAGCUCCACAUUUUUGCUUCAUUCUGUGUUUAUCUUCCAGUUUGCGAUGGAAAGAAUUCAGAGAGAGAGAGAGAGAAUGGAGCCUAUCAGAAGCAGAGAGGGUAAUUACAGGCAGGACUGAAUGUGGAAUAAGAAUGGCAGUAAUGGCUAGAUGAACCACUGUACAGCCCCAUUUGUUCCUCUGUCUGCGCUGCAUAAAAUGCUCAUCCAGCUCCGCUAAUGAAUUACCAGGUGUCUGUAUGUCCCCAUUUCCUUCCGUCAUUGUGGGGAAAAUGUGAUAAGCAAGUCGGUAUGAAAUGAAAGAAUAAUUGCCUUUUGUCUUUUCAAUUGUUCUGAAUCGUGCACUGUGUGCAUUGAACUCGGCGGUUGUAAGCUUAACUCUGCAACAAAAAAACAAAAAAAGGAGAAGAAGAAAAAUGCACAAGCCAAAACAUUGCAGAAAAGAAAUGACGACAGCUGUUCCAGCACAGAGUUAACGGUGACGGUCUGUGCUGAAAUCACAUACAGGGUCAGGGAAGGUAGAGGACAGGCAAGUUUAUUAGUAUAGCAACACACAAGACAGUUCAAAGUGUUUUACAGGUAAAUGGAGAAGACGAUGGAGUACAGGAGCUAGAGCAAGGCGAAAACAAUCGCAUUCAAAACGAGAAAGGCAUUUAUCGGACGAUGGCAUAAUUCAAAUGUGACGUAAUUAAUUUGAAAGUGAUCUUUAACCUUUAUGGAAGAAGCACAGGGAACUAUUUUCAGUCCUGUUUCUGCAGAUCUCAGGUCUUCAGGUUUGUUCCAGAGCAGAGGAGCAAAAUUAACAAAAUAAUGUUGGGUAAAACCGAUGAUUUAGCUGCUAUGUUGACAGAAACAACAUAGCAUCUCACAAACCUUAUUAUCGUGACCUAAUAAAGUCUCCUCUCACUACAUAAAUGUGUGUGUGUGUGUGGGGGGGGGCAGUAAUCCUCUUUUAAAUGCAGAGUGGUGCAGUUAAACUGCUUUUUCACACUGUCAGCUCAUUGAAUAGAUGUUUGCUGCACAUCGCUGUCUUAUCUGUAAAACAGGAAUGCAGAAAGAUACGUAAGAUGUGGCCUUGACGGCAGCACAGGACACAACUCUGGACAGCAACGUGAUGACUGACAUGUCAUCUUAAAGGAUUUACUCACCGAGAGCAUCAGCGGUCCUGUUGGGUUAGCAUGACUAAACAAUGGUGGCUCGGCAUCUGUUUGAGCGAAUGCGAGUUGACUCUACUGAAGUUUCCCUGUGACCUCUGCUGAAAUAACCUUGUUGAAUUCCUGAAGGAAUAUUAUACAUUGUCUUAAUUUGAAUUAAAUUUAGGGGAACAAAUACAACUUGAGCAGACUAAUUUUCUCAUUAAGAACAAAACAAAAAACAAAACUGAUUUUCCACUCCUCUCGGUAUGAAUGAACCUCUUUUUAUACAGAGUAGCACCUCAGGAAACCAUAAACUCGCAGUUCUAACUGUUACAGCUCAGUUUAUAGAAGGAGGCGGUGGAUCCUUGAAUCUCCCACGCCUGCAGUUCGGUGGUGCCUUAAUCCAUGACAAGAUAAGAAACAGAGUGAAAGCGGCUUAAUAGAAGCAACAGUUUUACCACCUCCAGCUGAUGCAACGAACAUGUCCCGAUCAAUAAAUCAGCGGAGGAGAAGAUUGUCUCCUGACAGCGCUUGCGGCCAAGCAUCGGUUUACUGUUCUUUUUUCUGGGGGGCGGGGGGAGACGAUGGGGAUGCUCAUGUUCAGCACUGUAGUUUUUUUUAUUUUUUAUUUUAUUUUGUCUUCAAAAGUCUGACUAAUUACCUCUGCAGCUUUCGUCUGGUAUGUUUUUCUUUUCAUAUUAUGUUUGGGGUCCUCUUGAAUUUAGAUGCACCUUUGAUGUUUCCCCUCCACGUCUCCGCUAUAGCCUCCUCUCUCUCCAGAAAUAAUCACUGACGCAUGAGACCAUCCGAUUGCUGUUGUUUUUUUGUUUUUUUUUUUGCUGGGAUUCAUAUAAAAAUAUCCAUGUAUUAUCUUGGCCUUGUAAGAA
This is a long non-coding RNA of Poecilia latipinna (sailfin molly), 4267 nucleotides long. RefSeq lists it as uncharacterized. The transcript is spliced from 2 exons. NCBI's taxonomy places the organism in Eukaryota, Metazoa, Chordata, Actinopteri, Cyprinodontiformes, Poeciliidae. The record is from RefSeq and is a predicted model, not a curated record.